GACGAACGCUGGCGGCGUGCUUAACACAUGCAAGUCGAACGGAAAGGCGCGGCUUUUGCGGGUUGGUCGAGUGGCGAGGGCGGGAGUGACACGCGAGUAAAAUGCCCUUAUCUGAGGGGUAACAUUAGGAGAAAGGGGAUCUAAUCGGGUAUGAUCUCCUGCACCACGUUGGUCGUUGGAAAGAUACGGCGUUGCUGUCACGUAUCGAUGGUUCCGCGCUGCAUUAGCUAGUUGGUAAGGUAAAGGCUUACCAAGGGUACGAGGCAUAGCCGACCUGAGAGGGGGAUCGGCCACCCUGGAACUGGGACACGGUCCAGACUCCUACGGGAGGCAGCAGUAGGGAAUCUUCCGCAAUGGGCGAAAGCCUGACGGAGCAACGCCGCGUGAGUGAUGAAGGUCUUCGGAUCGUAAAACUCGGUUAUUAGGGAAGAACAUAUGUGUAAGUAACUGUGCACAUCUUGACGGUACCUAAUCAGAAAGCCACGGCUAACUACGUG
Molecule: ribosomal RNA, 497 nt
Filed under: uncultured bacterium
Lineage: Bacteria
Description: partial 16S ribosomal RNA
Rfam family: Bacterial small subunit ribosomal RNA
Source: RNAcentral